Molecule: ribosomal RNA, 1369 nt
Filed under: uncultured bacterium
Lineage: Bacteria
Description: bacterial SSU rRNA
Rfam family: Bacterial small subunit ribosomal RNA
Source: RNAcentral
GACGAACGCUGGCGGCGUGCCUAAUACAUGCAAGUAGAACGCUGAAGAGAGGAGCUUGCUCUUCUUGGAUGAGUUGCGAACGGGUGAGUAACGCGUAGGUAACCUGCCUUGUAGCGGGGGAUAACUAUUGGAAACGAUAGCUAAUACCGCAUAACAAUGGAUGACACAUGUCAUUUAUUUGAAAGGGGCAAUUGCUCCACUACAAGAUGGACCUGCGUUGUAUUAGCUAGUAGGUGAGGUAACGGCUCACCUAGGCGACGAUACAUAGCCGACCUGAGAGGGUGAUCGGCCACACUGGGACUGAGACACGGCCCAGACUCCUACGGGAGGCAGCAGUAGGGAAUCUUCGGCAAUGGGGGCAACCCUGACCGAGCAACGCCGCGUGAGUGAAGAAGGUUUUCGGAUCGUAAAGCUCUGUUGUAAGUCAAGAACGAGUGUGAGAGUGGAAAGUUCACACUGUGACGGUAGCUUACCAGAAAGGGACGGCUAACUACGUGCCAGCAGCCGCGGUAAUACGUAGGUCCCGAGCGUUGUCCGGAUUUAUUGGGCGUAAAGCGAGCGCAGGCGGUUUGAUAAGUCUGAAGUUAAAGGCUGUGGCUCAACCAUAGUUCGCUUUGGAAACUGUCAAACUUGAGUGCAGAAGGGGAGAGUGGAAUUCCAUGUGUAGCGGUGAAAUGCGUAGAUAUAUGGAGGAACACCGGUGGCGAAAGCGGCUCUCUGGUCUGUAACUGACGCUGAGGCUCGAAAGCGUGGGGAGCGAACAGGAUUAGAUACCCUGGUAGUCCACGCCGUAAACGAUGAGUGCUAGGUGUUGGAUCCUUUCCGGGAUUCAGUGCCGCAGCUAACGCAUUAAGCACUCCGCCUGGGGAGUACGACCGCAAGGUUGAAACUCAAAGGAAUUGACGGGGGCCCGCACAAGCGGUGGAGCAUGUGGUUUAAUUCGGAGCAACGCGAAGAACCUUACCAGGUCUUGACAUCCCGAUGCUAUUUCUAGAGAUAGAAAGUUACUUCGGUACAUCGGUGACAGGUGGUGCAUGGUUGUCGUCAGCUCGUGUCGUGAGAUGUUGGGUUAAGUCCCGCAACGAGCGCAACCCCUAUUGUUAGUUGCCAUCAUUCAGUUGGGCACUCUAGCGAGACUGCCGGUAAUAAACCGGAGGAAGGUGGGGAUGACGUCAAAUCAUCAUGCCCCUUAUGACCUGGGCUACACACGUGCUACAAUGGUUGGUACAACGAGUUGCGAGUCGGUGACGGCAAGCUAAUCUCUUAAAGCCAAUCUCAGUUCGGAUUGUAGGCUGCAACUCGCCUACAUGAAGUCGGAAUCGCUAGUAAUCGCGGAUCAGCACGCCGCGGUGAAUACGUUCCCGGGCCU